UGACCUGUAACACUCAUCCAAUAUUAGGGGUGGGGGUUUCUUGUCAAGGUGUUAGUGACUAGGUGCUUUUCUCUGUGGCAGAGAGAGAGAAAGAAGGAGAGAAAUCAACUGACUACUCUUUGAACGCACAGACAGUGAGGAAGGAUGAUGAGUUUGAGAGUUUACCUAUAUUCAUCAUAGCAAAGAAAUCAACUUUCCAACAAUCUUUUACCAAAUUUUAGUCUCUUCUUCUGAUUAUUCUUCAGGUGUUUGUUCAUCUUUUGACUCUUUUUCUGUUAAUGCCUACGUAAGGGAUGUGCUAGGG
Molecule: unclassified non-coding RNA, 304 nt
Filed under: Hevea brasiliensis (rubber tree)
Lineage: Eukaryota; Viridiplantae; Streptophyta; Magnoliopsida; Malpighiales; Euphorbiaceae
Source: RNAcentral